AACGGCCAUACCAUGCUGAAUACACCGGUUCUCGUUAGAUCACCGAAGUCAAACAUCAUUGGGCGCGGUCAGUACUUGGGUGGGUGACCACCUGGGAACAUCGCGUGCCGUU
This 112-nucleotide ribosomal RNA is filed under the name Caerostris darwini. The record is from RNAcentral. Lineage: Eukaryota; Metazoa; Arthropoda; Arachnida; Araneae; Araneidae.